AACGAACGCUGGCGGCAUGCCUAACACAUGCAAAUCGAACGAGACCUUCGGGUCUAGUGGCGCACGGGUGCGUAACGCGUGGGAACCUGCCCUUAGGUUCGGAAUAACUCCCCGAAAGGGGUGCUAAUACCGGAUAAUGUCUUCGGACCAAAGAUUUAUCGCCUUUGGAUGGGCCCGCGUUGGAUUAGCUAGUUGGUAGGGUAAAAGCCUACCAAGGCGACGAUCCAUAGCUGGUCUGAGAGGAUGAUCAGCCACACUGGGACUGAGACACGGCCCAGACUCCUACGGGAGGCAGCAGUGGGGAAUAUUGGACAAUGGGCGAAAGCCUGAUCCAGCAAUGCCGCGUGAGUGAUGAAGGCCUUAGGGUUGUAAAGCUCUUUUACCCGGGAUGAUAAUGACAGUACCGGGAGAAUAAGCUCCGGCUAACUCCGUG
Molecule: ribosomal RNA, 433 nt
Filed under: uncultured bacterium
Lineage: Bacteria
Description: partial 16S ribosomal RNA
Rfam family: Bacterial small subunit ribosomal RNA
Source: RNAcentral